This 449-nucleotide small RNA is filed under the name Pan troglodytes (chimpanzee). RNAcentral's name for it is "processed transcript". The record is from RNAcentral. Lineage: Eukaryota; Metazoa; Chordata; Mammalia; Primates; Hominidae.
AUGGGUUCCUGAGCUCUCUACUGUUAAUAGAACUUGCUCUCUCGCAGGCCAAUGCCUCACCAGGUGAUUGAAGCAGAGAAACUUAGGUGGUGAAAAGAGAAGAUGGGGCCUGUCCUGAGAGUUUCUGUUCCUGAGAUUCUAGAGGCAGAGGGUCCCUAAACUUUCCUGAGUCGGCAGACAUCCCCUCUGGAGAAGAGGUUGGCCCCAGAGUCGAACAUCCUCUGAUCUACCUGAUCCUGCUGCCCUUCCAUUCCACUUCCCCACAUCUGUUCUUUCUGGUCGUGUUUACUCCCCUAUUAAAAAAACAAAACCAGAAAACGUGUUUGCCUAGAUCUUGAGACUCUGGAAGAUCUUAACAGUCAGAGGUUCCCCCUAUUUGCAAUGAUCUCCUUUCCUGGCCCUUCCUAUCCUUGCAAUAAUCCUUUUGAUUAAAGUCUCUCCUUACUAAA